CAAGCUCCUCUCUGAAUGAAAGCAAACGCUGGACUGAAUGUUUGGGGUGGGAAGCUGCUGGAGCAGCCAUGCUAGCCCCGCCCCCAUCAAGGCCCCUGGCCAAUACGGCAUCUUCUAGGGCCUGUGCUAAGGAUGGGGCUGGGACAAAUCACCCUCCCUACAGCACGAAGCCUUGGGAGGGGCAUUCUGUGGCUUCCGUUUUAAAAUGAAACUUAGAAAACUUUUUAAAAGGUUUUUUUAAAAAAAUCUUCCCCUGCAAUUUUCCCUAAAAGACUACAAUUCCCAAGGAUCACUCUCCCAGGGCAGCAGGUGAAGAAGUUAAACAAGAGGAGUCUUCAGUCUUUCAUUUCAAAAGUAAAGCCGCAGAAGAUGCUACUCUCUCAGCAACUGAGGGGAAAUGAAAAUAGAGCCAUCCUGUUUCCUGCCUGCUCCCAAAUUAUAAGAAGUCUGACCUUACAAAACCCAGUAGAAUGGAACAAGAGGGCAGACGGAGGGAGUCUCCUAAGGACAACAUAAGGAAAACCCGAACACCUGUCUAUUCCACAUUCCCAAUGGACAAGAUUUGAGCUGGUAUUUCUGUUUAACAAAGAAAAUAUUUACAGAUUUAUCAGUCCCCGAGCAACGGCUGUCCUGCUGUGUGACCAGUACUCGCUUGUAUUUUUGUUACACUAAAGUGUAAAGAGCAAUAUUCUGAACUUUCCCAGACCCAGUGAAUUUGGGAAUAACUUCACAGAUGUCAGGUGAAGAUUAAAAGAGAAGGAACUUGACCUCAUGGAGAAAAAUAAAAUGUGGGUUCAUAUUUUUGUAACAAAUUCACUACUUAAUGUGUGCAUUUGUAGUAUUUCUGCAGUUAGUUCU
Hemicordylus capensis (graceful crag lizard) is the source of this 858-nucleotide long non-coding RNA. RefSeq lists it as uncharacterized. The record is from RefSeq and is a predicted model, not a curated record. Lineage: Eukaryota; Metazoa; Chordata; Lepidosauria; Squamata; Cordylidae. The transcript is spliced from 3 exons.